Molecule: ribosomal RNA, 253 nt
Filed under: uncultured bacterium
Lineage: Bacteria
Description: partial 16S ribosomal RNA
Rfam family: Bacterial small subunit ribosomal RNA
Source: RNAcentral
UACGGAGGGGGCUAGCGUUGUUCGGAAUUACUGGGCGUAAAGCGCGCGUAGGCGGACCUGCAAGUCGGGGGUGAAAGCCCGAGGCUCAACCUCGGAACUGCCUUCGAUACUGCGGGUCUCGAGUCCGGGAGAGGUGAGUGGAAUUCCUAGUGUAGCGGUGAAAUGCGUAGAUAUCAGGAGGAACACCGGUGGCGAAGGCGGCCCUCUGGACGGAUACUGACGCUGAGGCGCGAAAGCGUGGGGAUCAAACAGG